Piliocolobus tephrosceles (Ugandan red Colobus) is the source of this 96-nucleotide small nuclear RNA. The record is from Ensembl. Lineage: Eukaryota; Metazoa; Chordata; Mammalia; Primates; Cercopithecidae.
UUCCUGCUCUGAUAGGACGUACACUAAAAUUGGAAUGAUGCAGCAUGACCCUUGCUUAAGGAUGACAUGCAACUUUGUCAGGCAUGCUGUAUUUGC